RNAcentral lists this ribosomal RNA (835 nucleotides) under uncultured bacterium. RNAcentral describes it as "bacterial SSU rRNA". It matches the Rfam family "Bacterial small subunit ribosomal RNA", at positions 97 to 916 of the family's 1533-position model. The record is from RNAcentral.
GGCGAACGGGUGAGUAACACGUGGGCAACCUGCCCCUCGCAGGGGGACAACCGGAGGAAACUCCGGCUAAUACCCCGUACGCUUGUUGGGUCGCAUGGCCCGGCAAGGAAAGGUAGCUUCGGCCAUCCGGCGAGGGAUGGGCCCGCGUUGCAUUAGCUAGUUGGUGGGGUAACGGCCCACCAAGGCGACAAUGCGUAGCUGGUCUGAGAGGAUGAUCAGCCACACUGGGACUGAGACACGGCCCAGACUCCUACGGGAGGCAGCAGCCAGGAAUCUUGGGCAAUGGGCGAAAGCCUGACCCAGCAACACCGUGUGGGCGACGAAGGCCUUAGGGUCGUAAAGCCCUGUUGAUAGGGACGAAGGGCGAAGGGUUAAUAGCCCCUAGCUUGACGGUACCUUUCGAGGAAGCCCCGGCUAACUACGUGCCAGCAGCCGCGGUAAUACGUAGGGGGCGAGCGUUGUCCGGAAUUAUUGGGCGUAAAGAGCGUGUAGGCGGUUCGAUAAGUCUGCUGUGAAAUUCUGGGGCUCAACCCCGGGCGUGCAGCGGAUACUGCCGGGCUAGAGGAUGGUAGAGGCGAGUGGAAUUCCGAGUGUAGCGGUGAAAUGCGCAGAUAUUCGGAGGAACACCAGUAGCGAAGGCGGCUCGCUGGGCCAUUCCUGACGCUGAGACGCGAAAGCGUGGGGAGCGAACAGGAUUAGAUACCCUGGUAGUCCACGCCGUAAACGAUGGACACUGGGUGUGGGGGGAGUCGAAUCCCUCUGUGCCGAAGUUAACGCGUUAAGUGUCCCGCCUGGGGAGUACGGCCGCAAGGCUAAAACUCAAAGGAAUUGACGG